Molecule: transfer RNA, 72 nt
Filed under: bacterium
Lineage: Bacteria
Description: tRNA-Glu
Rfam family: tRNA
About the family: Transfer RNA (tRNA) molecules are approximately 80 nucleotides in length.
Source: RNAcentral
GGCCCUAUCGUCUAUCGGUUAGGACAUGACCUUCUCAAGGUCGAAAGCGGGGUUCGACUCCCCGUAGGGUCA